AUACGGAGGACGCGAGCGUUAUCCGGAUUCAUUGGGUUUAAAGGGUGCGCAGGCGGCCGUGCAAGUCAGCGGUGAAAGCCCGGGGCUCAACCCCGGAAGUGCCGUUGAUACUGCAUGGCUGGAAUGCGGUCGAGGCGGGCGGAACGGGACGUGUAGCGGGGAAAAGCGUAGCUAUGGCACAGAACGCCGGUAGCGGAGGCCGCUCGCCAGGCCUGCAUUGACGCUCGGGCACGAAAGCGUGGGGAUCGAACAGGAUUAGAUACCCUGGUAGUCCACGCCGUAAACGAUGGGCGCUCGUCGUCGGCGGCAGACAGUCGGCGGCCAAGCGAAAGCGAUAAGCGCCCCACCUGGGGAGUACGGUCGCAAGGCUGAAACUCAAAUGAAUUGACGGGG
This 393-nucleotide ribosomal RNA is filed under the name uncultured bacterium. RNAcentral describes it as "partial 16S ribosomal RNA". It matches the Rfam family "Bacterial small subunit ribosomal RNA", at positions 523 to 918 of the family's 1533-position model. The record is from RNAcentral.